Molecule: long non-coding RNA, 604 nt
Filed under: Prunus persica (peach)
Lineage: Eukaryota; Viridiplantae; Streptophyta; Magnoliopsida; Rosales; Rosaceae
Description: long non-coding RNA (PPER_LNC002528)
Source: RNAcentral
UCAGACAAUCCCUUGGUGGUCCUGAAAAUGGUUUGGAGGUCCCUUGUUGGCCCUUGGCAGCCAUGGGAGACGACCCCAUGAAGAAGAAGAUGCAAGCUGCGAGGAAAAGAAAGAGGGAGGAAGAAGAAGACAAAAUUUCAAUGUUUGUUUGGCAAGCCUGAAUAACUGUUCUAUAUUAAUCUCUAUGAAUUUUUUUUUAACUUCCAAUGUUAUUUUUCUUAAAAAGAAAAAGAAAAGAGAAGAAUCAGUUUUACCCUAUCCGUAAUGCAUGUGGAGAACAAACGAAUCUACAAUUUCGAAACCAACAUUUCGAGAAGACAAGAGAUAAGGUCACCAUCCGACCAAAAAAAAAAACAGAUAUAAGAUCACAUGCAUGAAAGCAAGAGGUGCAAUUUACAAAGGCCACACGAAGAAAAAUUUUCUCUUUGUUUUUCCGCGAAAUAAACUUGACUAAGCGUAAUGGCCUUGUAAUCAAAUGAUUAAAAAUAUUUAUAUUUCUAAUUAAGUGGUUAAGAGCAUUGAUUCUUGCACUUAUAUUACCUCUGUAUAAAAAGUAAAAAAACUGAACCAAACUUGUAAAAAAGAUACUAAUUAUAAGUUACAA